Molecule: ribosomal RNA, 490 nt
Filed under: uncultured bacterium
Lineage: Bacteria
Description: partial 16S ribosomal RNA
Rfam family: Bacterial small subunit ribosomal RNA
Source: RNAcentral
AUUGAACGCUGGCGGCAGGCUUAACACAUGCAAGUCGAGCGGUAGCACAGGGGAGCUUGCUCCCUGGGUGACGAGCGGCGGACGGGUGAGUAAUGUCUGGGAAACUGCCUGAUGGAGGGGGAUAACUACUGGAAACGGUAGCUAAUACCGCAUAACGUCGCAAGACCAAAGAGGGGGACCUUCGGGCCUCUUGCCAUCAGAUGUGCCCAGAUGGGAUUAGCUAGUAGGUGGGGUAAUGGCUCACCUAGGCGACGAUCCCUAGCUGGUCUGAGAGGAUGACCAGCCACACUGGAACUGAGACACGGUCCAGACUCCUAAGGGAGGCAGCAGUGGGGAAUAUUGCACAAUGGGCGCAAGCCUGAUGCAGCCAUGCCGCGUGUGUGAAGAAGGCCUUCGGGUUGUAAAGCACUUUCAGCGAGGAGGAAGGUGGUGAGCUUAAUACGUUCAUCAAUUGACGUUACUCGCAGAAGAAGCACCGGCUAACUCCGUG